GACCGGUCCCCGGGAGACCGGUCCUUGUCCGAGAGACCGGUUCCCGAGAGUUGCAUUCUCGGGACUUAGCCAAAUUUGGCUAAGUCUCGCCAGGCCAACGUUCGGGAACCGGUCCCUGCCCAUCAGGGACCGGUCUCAUCAGAGACCUUCGCAACCCAGCCUGAUGGAACCGGUCCCUCCCUGCCAGGGACCGGUCCCCGAGAGCAUUUCUGCUCCAGUGCAGAUUUUGCACUGGUGCUCCCUCGGACCCUUCCUUAAUGCACUUUAUGCAUUAUAAACACCUUCGGACUUUCCGAAGCCUACACACUCGACAACUAGUCGAUUCUAGUCGAAGUCUAAUCCUCGAGUUUCGAGAAUUCACUUCCUUACAA
This 371-nucleotide long non-coding RNA is filed under the name Ananas comosus (pineapple). Its description in RNAcentral is "long non-coding RNA (ACOM_LNC003523)". Lineage: Eukaryota; Viridiplantae; Streptophyta; Magnoliopsida; Poales; Bromeliaceae. The record is from RNAcentral.